This 402-nucleotide ribosomal RNA is filed under the name uncultured bacterium. Its description in RNAcentral is "bacterial SSU rRNA". It matches the Rfam family "Archaeal small subunit ribosomal RNA", at positions 339 to 743 of the family's 1478-position model. The record is from RNAcentral.
GCGCGAAAACUUUACAAUGCUGGCAACAGCGAUAAGGGAACCUCGAGUGCCAGGUACAAAUCUGGCUGUCGAGAUGCCUAAAAAGCAUUUCAUAGCAAGGGCCGGGCAAGACCGGUGCCAGCCGCCGCGGUAACACCGGCGGCUCGAGUGGUAACCGUUAUUAUUGGGUCUAAAGGGUCUGUAGCCGGCCGGAUAAGUCUCUUGAGAAAUCUGGCAGCUUAACUGUCAGGCUUUCAGGAGAUACUGUCUGGCUCGAGGCCGGGAGAGGUGAGAGGUACUUCAGGGGUAGGGUGAAAUCUUGUAAUCCUUGAAGGACCACCAGUGGCGAAGGCGUCUCACCAGAACGGACCUGACGGCAAGGGACGAAAGCUAGGGGCACGAACCGGAUUAGAGACCCGAGUA